This 71-nucleotide transfer RNA is filed under the name Camelus bactrianus (Bactrian camel). It matches the Rfam family "tRNA". Rfam says of the family: Transfer RNA (tRNA) molecules are approximately 80 nucleotides in length. Their secondary structure includes four short double-helical elements and three loops (D, anti-codon, and T loops). RNAcentral also lists the same sequence under 3 other names. The record is from Rfam by way of RNAcentral. Lineage: Eukaryota; Metazoa; Chordata; Mammalia; Artiodactyla; Camelidae.
GGGUAUAGCUCUAGUGGUAGAGCACAUGCUUAGCAUGCAUAAGGUUCUGGGUUCAAGUCCCAGUAUCUCCA